This 250-nucleotide ribosomal RNA is filed under the name uncultured bacterium. RNAcentral's name for it is "partial 16S ribosomal RNA". It matches the Rfam family "Bacterial small subunit ribosomal RNA", at positions 779 to 1024 of the family's 1533-position model. The record is from RNAcentral.
UAGAUACCCUGGUAGUCCACGCCGUAAACGUUGGGCACUAGGUGUGAGGCUCCUUUCCGGGGGUUUUGCGCCGUAGCUAACGCAUUAAGUGCCCCGCCUGGGGAGUACGGCCGCAAGGCUAAAACUCAAAGGAAUUGACGGGGGCCCGCACAAGCGGCGGAGCAUGCGGAUUAAUUCGAUGCAACGCGAAGAACCUUACCAAGGCUUGACAUGUUAACCGUGGCUCUAGAGAUAGGGUUUACCCUUUUGG